GAACGCUGGCGGUGCGCCUAACACAUGCAAGUCAACGGGGUUAUCAUGCGAAACUCACUUCGGUGAGCGGAGUGUGAUAACUUAGUGGCGAACGGGUGAGUAACACAUAGGUAACCAACCCUUAGGAUUGGGAUACUCCCGAGAAAUCGGGCUCAAUACCGAAUAUGAUUCCGAGGUGAAAUUCCUUGGGAUGAAAGCUCCGAGCAAUCGUGGCGCCUAAGGAUGGGCCUGUGGCCUAUCAGCUAGUUGGUGAGGUAACUGCUCACCAAGGCAAAGACGGGUAGCCGGACUGAGAGGUUGAUCGGCCACACUGGAACUGAGACACGGUCCAGACUCCUACGGGAGGCAGCAGUGAGGAAUUUUGCGCAAUGGGCGAAAGCCUGACGCAGCGACACCGCGUGGGGGAAGAAGGCUCUCGGGUUGUAAACCCCUUUCGUGAGGGAAAAAGUGCCGAUUCGUCGGCAUGAUGGUACCUCAGGAAGAAGCCACGGCUAACUCUGUG
Molecule: ribosomal RNA, 502 nt
Filed under: uncultured bacterium
Lineage: Bacteria
Description: bacterial SSU rRNA
Rfam family: Bacterial small subunit ribosomal RNA
Source: RNAcentral